RNAcentral lists this ribosomal RNA (254 nucleotides) under uncultured bacterium. Its description in RNAcentral is "partial 16S ribosomal RNA". It matches the Rfam family "Bacterial small subunit ribosomal RNA", at positions 524 to 776 of the family's 1533-position model. The record is from RNAcentral.
UACGUAGGAGGCGAGCGUUGUCCGGAAUUACUGGGCGUAAAGAGCGCGUAGGCGGCACGGUACGACCUGUGUGAAAGCCCCCGGCUCAACUGGGGAGGGUGGUCGCGAGACGGCAGGGCUUGAGGCUCGGUGAGGGGCGUGGAAUUCCGGGUGGAGCGGUGAAAUGCGUAGAGAUCCGGAGGAACACCGACGGCGUAGGCAGCGCCCUAGACGAGACCUGACGCUCAGGCACGAAAGCGCGGGGAGCGAACAGG